RNAcentral lists this ribosomal RNA (253 nucleotides) under uncultured bacterium. RNAcentral describes it as "partial 16S ribosomal RNA". It matches the Rfam family "Bacterial small subunit ribosomal RNA", at positions 524 to 776 of the family's 1533-position model. The record is from RNAcentral.
UACGGGGGGGGCAAGCGUUGUUCGGAAUUACUGGGCGUAAAGGGCUCGUAGGUGGCCAACUAAGUCAGACGUGAAAUCCCUCGGCUUAACCGAGGAACUGCGUCUGAUACUGGAUGGCUUGAGUUUGGGAGAGGGAUGCGGAAUUCCAGGUGUAGCGGUGAAAUGCGUAGAUAUCUGGAGGAACACCGGUGGCGAAGGCGGCAUCCUGGACCAACACCGACGCUGAACAGCGAAAGCCAGGGGAGCAAACGGG